AAGGGAGGAGCUAAGCCUCCAGAGUCCUGGCAUGGGCAGGUGGGGGAGCCCCAAGGGCCAGCACCUCUGCCCCCACCCCAGAAGACUGCAGACAGCUGUGACGGAUGGCCACCUGGCCUGAACUGACUCCUGGCCCUCUCUUUAAUCCUGUUCUGACUCUGAGGACAUUCUGAUGCAGAAGGAAGAGGACCUGAAGUGCUGACAGCUGGUCCAAGAGCACACUUUGAGUAGUGAGACUCCGGAAUACUGAGCAGCGAGCACCAGAGCAGCAGUUCUCAUCAAAGGAGGGCAUCAGAACAAACACGCGGUCCUCGCCUCCUGCUCCCUUUCUCAAGACAGAGACAUUCUGAUCCAGUAGGUGUAGGGUGGGUCCUAACACAGGUGUUUCGAAACAGUCUCAAAUGGUUUCAUGCGCCCAUCCCCUUGUAAAAACUGGUUGUUCCUGAAUCCAAUAAUAAUACCUAUGUUAACCAA
Long non-coding RNA from Homo sapiens (human), 474 nucleotides. RefSeq lists it as uncharacterized. The record is from RefSeq and is a predicted model, not a curated record. The transcript is spliced from 2 exons. NCBI's taxonomy places the organism in Eukaryota, Metazoa, Chordata, Mammalia, Primates, Hominidae.